UGGGGAAUAUUGCACAAUGGGCGAAAGCCUGAUGCAGCGACGCCGCGUGAGGGAUGACGGCCUUCGGGUUGUAAACCUCUUUCAGCAGGGAAGAAGCGAAAGUGACGGUACCUGCAGAAGAAGCGCCGGCUAACUACGUGCCAGCAGCCGCGGUAAUACGUAGGGCGCAAGCGUUGUCCGGAAUUAUUGGGCGUAAAGAGCUCGUAGGCGGUUAGUCGCGUCUGCUGUGAAAACUCGAGGCUCAACCUCGGGCUUGCAGUGGGUACGGGCUGACUAGAGUGCGGUAGGGGUGACUGGAAUUCCUGGUGUAGCGGUGGAAUGCGCAGAUAUCAGGAGGAACACCGAUGGCGAAGGCAGGUCACUGGACCGCAACUGACGCUGAGGAGCGAAAGCAUGGGGAGCGAACAGGAUUAGAUACCCUGGUAGUCCAUGCCGUAAACGUUGGGCACUAGGUGUGGGGUCCAUUCCACGGACUCCGUGCCGCAGCAAACGCAUUAAGUGCCCCCGCCUGGGGGAGUACGGCCGCAAGGCU
This 532-nucleotide ribosomal RNA is filed under the name uncultured bacterium. RNAcentral's name for it is "partial 16S ribosomal RNA". It matches the Rfam family "Bacterial small subunit ribosomal RNA", at positions 355 to 895 of the family's 1533-position model. The record is from RNAcentral.